This 462-nucleotide ribosomal RNA is filed under the name uncultured bacterium. Its description in RNAcentral is "bacterial SSU rRNA". It matches the Rfam family "Bacterial small subunit ribosomal RNA", at positions 34 to 486 of the family's 1533-position model. The record is from RNAcentral.
GAAUUCACUAGUGAUUCAGGCCUAACACAUGCAAGUCGAGCGGUAGAGAGAAGCUUGCUUCUCUUGAGAGCGGCGGACGGGUGAGUAAUGCCUAGGAAUCUGCCUGGUAGUGGGGGAUAACGUUCGGAAACGGACGCUAAUACCGCAUACGUCCUACGGGAGAAAGCAGGGGACCUUCGGGCCUUGCGCUAUCAGAUGAGCCUAGGUCGGAUUAGCUAGUUGGUGAGGUAAUGGCUCACCAAGGCGACGAUCCGUAACUGGUCUGAGAGGAUGAUCAGUCACACUGGAACUGAGACACGGUCCAGACUCCUACGGGAGGCAGCAGUGGGGAAUAUUGGACAAUGGGCGAAAGCCUGAUCCAGCCAGGCCGCGUGUGUGAAGAAGGUCUUCGGAUUGUAAAGCAAGGGAAGUUGGGAGGAAGGGCAGUUACCUAAUACGUGAUGUUUUGACGUACCGACAGAA